This 501-nucleotide ribosomal RNA is filed under the name uncultured Glomeromycotina. Its description in RNAcentral is "partial small subunit ribosomal RNA". It matches the Rfam family "Eukaryotic small subunit ribosomal RNA", at positions 591 to 1092 of the family's 1831-position model. Lineage: Eukaryota; Fungi; Glomeromycota. The record is from RNAcentral.
CCAAUAGCGUAUAUUAAAGUUGUUGCAGUUAAAAAGCUCGUAGUUGAAUUUCGGGGUUAGUAGGUUGGUCAUGCCUCUGGUAUGUACUGGUCUCACUGAUUCCUCCUUCCUGAUGAACCGUAAUGCCAUUAAUUUGGUGUUGCGGGGAAUUUGGACUGUUACUUUGAAAAAAUUAGAGUGUUUAAAGCAGGCAUUUUGCUUGAAUACAUUAGCAUGGAAUAAUAAAAUAGGACGGAUGGUUCUAUUUUGUUGGUUUCUAGGAUCACCGUAAUGAUUAAUAGGGAUAGUUGGGGGCAUUAGUAUUCAAUUGUCAGAGGUGAAAUUCUUGGAUUUAUUGAAGACUAACUACUGCGAAAGCAUUUGCCAAGGAUGUUUUCAUUAAUCAAGAACGAAAGUUAGGGGAUCGAAGACGAUCAGAUACCGUCGUAGUCUUAACCAUAAACUAUGCCGACUAGGAAUCAGACGAUGUUAAUUUUUUAAUGACUCGUUUGGCACCUUACG